Molecule: non-coding RNA, 1932 nt
Organism: Durio zibethinus
Lineage: Eukaryota; Viridiplantae; Streptophyta; Magnoliopsida; Malvales; Malvaceae
Source: RefSeq, a predicted model, not a curated record
AGCUUCUGAUGGAGAUUUGGAGACUGCCAACUCUUUGCUUGUUCAUAUAAUUUCUAUCAGUAGAGCGCCUGUGUAAUGCUUCCAUCUGAUGUCAACCUUUCUUUGGUACCGUCUCGACUAUUAAAAGAAAAGCAAUUUCCAUCAAGCAUGGAAGGGGUUGAAAUUCUUGAUCUAAGCAUUCAAAGGAAGCUUUAUGUUUUACCAUUUCGACGCCCCAUGGCAACUUUCACCAAUCCUCAAUAGCCUCUUAUGAAUUUUCAGCUGUUGGUAGCGGCAAGGACGCAGCAAUUCAUAGGGGAGGUGGUGAAGCAGAGGCUGCUCCAGUGACAUCAGGGCUACCUGCUCUAGUGUCUGAGGGUGAUAGCAGACAUUCCAUCAGUCCACUUGUGCCUCCACAACUUCAUCCUUGUAACAACAAUGAAGGGGAAAGGAUCACGCUGCACACGAAGUAGAAAAUCCUAACAAAGGCUGAUUUUGUAUAGCGGGCUGAGAAUUUGAGACCAUGUUAGAGCUUUGAUGUAUAAAAAGUUGAUAACGGUCGUCAUCGAGUUGGGUACAGCAUUACCAUUUAGGUUUGGGCCGAACUUGAACUUGGCCCUACAUUUGCUUCUAGGCGUUGGUUCUUGUCGUCAUUUUGUAGCCCAAAUCAACAGAAACAAUUAAUUGCGAUAAUGUUGCCAAAUAGUGUAGGAAUCACUUGCUAAUCCACACCCAAAGGCAUCAACAAAAUGGGUAGCAGAGCUUUGCCGAUACUCAGCAGCUUCAAGUUUAAAACCCGCUUGUCUUUUGCUUCUUCUUCUUCGUAUCCGUUAUUUCUUAUUAACAAUAAUCCCAAAAUCCGAAACUUCUCUAUUAAAACGAGGUCGUCUUUGCAGCCACCGGAUGUGCUUCGUUUGGCUGAAACAGCUCGUAUUUCACUCGCCCCAAAUGAGGUUGAAGAAUCCGCUCCCAAAAUUCGACAAGUGAUAGAAUGGUUUGGGCAACUUCAAUCUGUUGAUCUUGACAGUGUCGAGCCUGCUAUUAGAGCUGACACUGAAGGUGAUAAUUUGCGUGAAGAUGUCCCUGAAGCAUUUGAGAAUAAGGAAGCACUUUUAGCAUCUGUUCCAAGCUAUGAGGAGCCAUAUAUCAAAGUUCCUAAAGUAUUGAACAAGGAGUAGCAUUUGGGUACCAUGUUAUUCUCCUUUUAGUUCCCAAAGAUUUUCAUCUAUGAAAGAUGCAGAAGUUAUAGAAGCCAUUCCUGCGCUUAGAAAAAAGGAGGCAUCUCGAUUGUACGGGAUAAUCGACUAACAUGAGUAAGGAAACUUUCUCGUUCAGUAACCAAGGCCAUUUGGAUUUGGUGCAACAAAUUCUUGUAGCCUUGUUCUAGUUCAAGUUUUUCUUAAUUUGAGGUCCGCUGGGCAACUUUUUUGUAUCUGACUCUACCUCAAUUUUGUUGCAAGUUUAAUUUUUCCAGCUCGUAAUCUGGAAUGUUAGUGUUACACAGGCUGGCUAGACACUGCAACUUUGGCAGAAGUUCCCACUGGACAGUUUUAUCUAGUUUAAGUUGCCGACAGAAUAAAAUCAAGUAAAAUUUGCGAUAAGAUUAAGUACUCCUAGGGAAAAGGAUAGAAUAAAUGAUAGUUUUAUAAGCAUUGCUGAAUGAUUAAUUUGCAAGGUUCCAGUUGCCAAUUAAUCCUGCUGGAACAAGCUGAACACGAAAUAAAUAUACAAAUGAAUUAUCUAAAACAUUAUACCCAAAGUUGCUAUUUACAUUGGAACUCCCAAAAUUAAAGAAAAUUCUUUAAGAACUUGGUAAGAAUGCAUGCCCUUAUCCAAUAUUUUUCUUUCGAUUUUUUUUUUCUCCUUUGUUUCUAUUUCUACAUUUGUGUCAAGAACUCCCUAGUUACUCUCAAAUUACAUACAAAAUAGAACAGUAAAAAACUGAACAAAAGA